UAAUGUUACAUAGAAACAUAGAAACAUAGAAUGUGACGGCAGAUAAGAACCAUUCGGCCCAUCUAGUCUGCCCAAUUUUCUAAAAACUUUCAUUAGUCCCUAGCCUUAUCUUAUAGUUAGGAUAGCCUUAUGCCUAUCCCACGCAUGCUUAAACUCCUUUACUGUGUUAACCUCUACCACUUCAGAUGGAAGGCUAUUCCAUGCAUCCACUACCCUCUCAGUAAAGUAAUACUUCCUGAUAUUAUUUUUAAACCUUUGUCCCUCUAAUUUAAGACUAUGUCCUCUUGUUGUGGUAGUUUUUCUUCUUUUAAAUAUAGUCUCCUCCUUUACUGUGUUGAUUCCCUUUAUGUAUUUAAAUGUUUCUAUCAUAUCCCCC
Non-coding RNA from Pelobates cultripes (western spadefoot toad), 376 nucleotides. The record is from the annotation of a GenBank genome assembly. Lineage: Eukaryota; Metazoa; Chordata; Amphibia; Anura; Pelobatidae.